Molecule: ribosomal RNA, 427 nt
Filed under: uncultured bacterium
Lineage: Bacteria
Description: partial 16S ribosomal RNA
Rfam family: Bacterial small subunit ribosomal RNA
Source: RNAcentral
UGGGGAAUAUUGCACAAUGGGCGCAAGCCUGAUGCAGCCAUGCCGCGUGUAUGAAGAAGGCCUUCGGGUUGUAAAGUACUUUCAGCGAGGAGGAAGGCGUUGUGGUUAAUAACCGCAACGAUUGACGUUACUCGCAGAAGAAGCACCGGCUAACUCCGUGCCAGCAGCCGCGGUAAUACGGAGGGGGCAAGCGUUAAUCGGAAUUACUGGGCGUAAAGCGCACGCAGGCGGUGUGUCAAGUCGGAUGGGAAAUCCCCGGGCUCAACCUGGGAACUGCAUCCGAAACUGGCAGGCUAGAGUCUUGUAGAGGGGGGUAGAAUUCCAGGUGUAGCGGUGAAAUGCGUAGAGAUCUGGAGGAAUACCGGUGGCGAAGGCGGCCCCCUGGACAAAGACUGACGCUCAGGUGCGAAAGCGUGGGGAGCAAACA